This 460-nucleotide ribosomal RNA is filed under the name uncultured bacterium. RNAcentral describes it as "partial 16S ribosomal RNA". It matches the Rfam family "Bacterial small subunit ribosomal RNA", at positions 338 to 795 of the family's 1533-position model. The record is from RNAcentral.
CCUACGGGAGGCUGCAGUGAGGAAUAUUGGUCAAUGGUCGGGAGCCUGAACCAGCCAAGUCGCGUGAGGGAUGAAGGUACUGUGUAUCGUAAACCUCUUUUGUCAGGGAAUAAAGUCGGGGACGCGUCCUAGGAUGUGUGUACCUCAUGAAUAAGCAUCGGCUAACUCCGUGCCAGCAGCCGCGGUAAUACGGAGGAUGCGAGCGUUAUCCGGAUUUAUUGGGUUUAAAGGGUGCGGAGGCGGCCUGUUAAGUCAGCGGGCAAAGGCCGGGGCUCAACCCUGGCAUCGCCGUUGAAACUGGCAGGCUUGAGUAUGAGUGAGGUAGGCGGAAUGCGCGGUGUAGCGGUGAAAUGCAUAGAUAUCGCGCAGAACCCCGAGUGCGAAGGCAGCAUGCCGGGUCCACACUGACGCUGAUGCACGAAAGCGUGGGGAUCAAACAGGAUUAGAUACCCGAGUAGUC